CCUANGGGAGGCUGCAGUCGAGAGGCUUCGGCAAUGGGGGAAACCCUGACCGAGCGACGCCGCGUGGGUGAUGAAGAUUCUCGGAUCGUAAAACCCUGUCAGGUGGGAUGAAAAACCAUUCGGUUAACACCCGAGUGGCUUGACAGUACCAUCAGAGGAAGCUCCGGCUAACUCCGUGCCAGCAGCCGCGGUAACACGGGGGGAGCAAGCGUUGUUCGGAUUCAUUGGGCGUAAAGAGCUCGUAGGCGGCUCUGUAAGUCGGAGGUGAAAGACCACAGCUCAACUGUGGAAACGCCUUCGAAACUGCGGAGCUUGAGGCCGGGAGAGGAAAUCGGAAUUCCUGGUGUAGCGGUGAAAUGCGUAGAUAUCAGGAGGAACACCGGUGGCGAAGGCGGAUUUCUGGACCGGUUCUGACGCUCAGGAGCGAAAGCCAGGGGAGCAAACAGGAUUAGAUACCCCANUANUC
This 466-nucleotide ribosomal RNA is filed under the name uncultured bacterium. RNAcentral's name for it is "bacterial SSU rRNA". It matches the Rfam family "Bacterial small subunit ribosomal RNA", at positions 338 to 795 of the family's 1533-position model. The record is from RNAcentral.